This 497-nucleotide ribosomal RNA is filed under the name uncultured bacterium. RNAcentral describes it as "partial 16S ribosomal RNA". It matches the Rfam family "Bacterial small subunit ribosomal RNA", at positions 28 to 507 of the family's 1533-position model. The record is from RNAcentral.
GAUGAACGCUGGCGGCGUGCCUAAUACAUGCAAGUCGAGCGAACAGACGAGGAGCUUGCUCCUCUGACGUUAGCGGCGGACGGGUGAGUAACACGUGGAUAACCUACCUAUAAGACUGGGAUAACUUCGUGAAACCGGAGCUAAUACCGGAUAAUAUAUUGAACCGCAUGGUUCAAUAGUGAAAGACGGUUUUGCUGUCACUUAUAGAUGGAUCCGCGCCGCAUUAGCUAGUUGGUGAGGUAACGGCUUACCAAGGCAACGAUGCGUAGCCGACCUGAGAGGGUGAUCGGCCACACUGGAACUGAGACACGGUCCAGACUCCUACGGGAGGCAGCAGUAGGGAAUCUUCCGCAAUGGGCGAAAGCCUGACGGAGCAACGCCGCGUGAGUGAUGAAGGUCUUCGGAUCGUAAAACUCUGUUAUUAGGGAAGAACAAAUGUGUAAGUAACUAUGCACGUCUUGACGGUACCUAAUCAGAAAGCCACGGCUAACUACGUG